CAUCAUCCCAGGGCUGUGAAUCGUUUCACAGGUGGCACUUUGACCUACGAAUCCGUCAUCUGAUGCCCCACGGCAGCUGGUGUUUGGUGGAGAAGACACCGGCUGAUUUGAGGACAGAGACCUGGGGCUUGAGCUGUACCACCUCCAUUUACCAGCUGGCCCACUUGGGCCUCCCUAUCCCCCGAGAGACAACAGUACUGAAAUUAGGCCAUUAAUAACUCUAUAACGACCUCUAAGUGCUCAAGUAAAAGGAAGAGGUGCACGUCUCUCACUUUAAAUCAAAAGCUAGAAAUGAUUACGCUUGGUGAUGAAGGCAUCUUGAAAGCCGAGAGAGGCUGAAAGAACAACAAAGCUUGGAUGACAGCACCUCUGCUUAUAACAUGGUUUUCUGAAUAUUUUAAGCCCACUGUUGAGAGCUGCGGCUCAGAAAAAGAUUCCUCUCAAAAGGCGACUGCUCAUUGACAAUGCGCUGGGUCCCCCAAGAGCUCUGAUGGAGAUGUCCAAGGAGAUUAAUGUUGUUUUCGGGUCUGCUAACACAACAUCCAUUCCACAGCCCAUGAGUCAAGGAGUAAUUUCAACUUUUAAGACGUAUUCUUUAAGAAACACAUUUUGUAAGGCUAUCAAUAGAGAUUCCUCUGAUGGAUCUGGGCAAAGUAAAUUGAAACCUCAUUCCAAAUGCCAUUAAGAACAUUCAUGAUUUAUGAGAAGAGGCCAGAAUACCAACAUGAAAAGCAGUUUGGAAGAAGUUGGUUCCAACCCUCCUGGAUGACUUUGACCCUCCCGGUUCAAGAUUGUAGGGGAGGGACUCAUUGCAGAUGUGGUGGGAACAGCGAGAGGAGUGACAUUAGCAGUGGAGCCUGAAGGCAGGACUGAAUGGCUGUGAUUUCAGGGUCAAACACGCACAGAGGACCUCAGAGGGGUUUCUGGCUGAUGAGCAAAGAAAGUAGUUUCUUGAGAUGGAAUCUACUCUUGAAGAAGACGCUGUGAAGAUCACUGAGUGUCAAUAAAGGAUUCAGAAUAGUACACAAAUUAGUGGAUAAGGCAGUGCCAGGGCUUGAGGGGAAAUCACUCUAAUUUUGAACGAAGAUUUAUUGUGGGUAAAAUGCUAUCAAAUAGCAUUUUGUGCUAUAGAGAAACUGUUCAUGAAAAGAGGCAAUCAAUGUGGCACAUUUCACAGACUUUUUUUAAGAAACUGUCACAGCCAGCCCAACCUUCAGUGCCCACCACCCUGAUCAGUCAACAGCCAUCAAAAUCGAGGAAAGACCUUCCACCAGCAAAAAGAUGAUGAUCACUAGGGGCACCUGGGUGGCUCAG
Long non-coding RNA from Suricata suricatta (meerkat), 1314 nucleotides. RefSeq lists it as uncharacterized. The transcript has 3 exons. The record is from RefSeq and is a predicted model, not a curated record. Lineage: Eukaryota; Metazoa; Chordata; Mammalia; Carnivora; Herpestidae.